RNAcentral lists this ribosomal RNA (549 nucleotides) under uncultured bacterium. RNAcentral's name for it is "bacterial SSU rRNA". It matches the Rfam family "Bacterial small subunit ribosomal RNA", at positions 355 to 896 of the family's 1533-position model. The record is from RNAcentral.
UCGAGAAUAAUCCGCAAUGGGCGAAAGCCUGACGGUGCGACGCCGCGUGGACGAUGAAGGCCUUCGGGUUGUAAAGUCCUUUCGCGCAGUAGGAAACGCGGGGUGCCAAUACCACUCCGAUUGACGUCACUGCGUAAAGAAGCUCCGGCUAACUUCGUGCCAGCAGCCGCGGUAAGACGAAGGGAGCAAGCGUUGUUCGGAAUCACUGGGCAUAAAGGGCACGCAGGCGGCCUAGCAAGUUGAGUGUGAAAGCCCCUGGCUCAACCAGGGAAUUGCACUCAAAACUGCCGGGCUUGAGCUCGGGAGGGGAGAGUGGAACUCCUAGUGUAGCGGUGAAAUGCGUAGAUAUUAGGAGGAACGCCGGUGGCGAAAGCGACUCUCUGGUCCGAUGCUGACGCUCAGGUGCGAAAGCUAGGGGAGCAAACAGGAUUAGAUACCCUGGUAGUCCUAGCCCUAAACGAUGAGCACUAGGUAGGGGAGGUUCCGAUGCCUUCUCUGCUGUCGCAAAUGUAUUAAGUGCUCCGCCUGGGGAGUACGGUCGCAAGGCUA